This 238-nucleotide ribosomal RNA is filed under the name uncultured bacterium. RNAcentral describes it as "partial 16S ribosomal RNA". It matches the Rfam family "Bacterial small subunit ribosomal RNA", at positions 104 to 334 of the family's 1533-position model. The record is from RNAcentral.
CGGGACGGGGUGGAGUAACGCGUGGAUAACCUGCCUCACACAGGGGAGUAACAGUUAGAAAUGACUGCUAAUACCGCAUAAGCGCACAGUACCGCAUGGUACAGUGUGAAAAACUCCGGUGGUGUGAGAUGGAUCCGCGUCUGAUUAGGUAGUUGGUGGGGUAACGGCCCACCAAGCCGACGAUCAGUAGCCGACCUGAGAGGGUGACCGGCCACAUUGGGACUGAGACACGGCCCAA